RNAcentral lists this ribosomal RNA (1343 nucleotides) under uncultured bacterium. RNAcentral's name for it is "16S ribosomal RNA". It matches the Rfam family "Bacterial small subunit ribosomal RNA", at positions 28 to 1378 of the family's 1533-position model. The record is from RNAcentral.
GACGAACGCUGGCGGCGUGCCUAACACAUGCAAGUCGAACGGAAAGGCCCUGCUUUUGUGGGGUGCUCGAGUGGCGAACGGGUGAGUAACACGUGAGUAACCUGCCCUUGACUUUGGGAUGACUUCAGGAAACUGGGGCUAAUACCGGAUAGGAGCUCCUGCUGCAUGGUGGGGGUUGGAAAGUUUCGGCGGUUGGGGAUGGACUCGCGGCUUAUCAGCUUGUUGGUGGGGUAGUGGCUUACCAAGGCUUUGACGGGUAGCCGGCCUGAGAGGGUGACCGGCCACAUUGGGACUGAGAUACGGCCCAGACUCCUACGGGAGGCAGCAGUGGGGAAUAUUGCACAAUGGGCGGAAGUCUGAUGCAGCAACGCCGCGUGCGGGAUGACGGCCUUCGGGUUGUAAACCGCUUUCGCCUGUGACGAAGCGUGAGUGACGGUAAUGGGUAAAGAAGCACCGGCUAACUACGUGCCAGCAGCCGCGGUGAUACGUAGGGUGCGAGCGUUGUCCGGAAUUAUUGGGCGUAAAGGGCUCGUAGGUGGUUGAUCGCGUCGGAAGUGUAAUCUUGGGGCUUAUUCCUGAGCGUGCUUUCGAUACGGGUUGACUUGAGGAGGGUAGGGGAGAAUGGAAUUCCUGGUGGAGCGGUGGAAUGCGCAGAUAUCAGGAGGAACACCAGUGGCGAAGGCGGUUCUCUGGGCCUUUCCUGACGCUGAGGAGCGAAAGCGUGGGGAGCGAACAGGCUUAGAUACCCUGGUAGUCCACGCUGUAAACGGUGGGUACUAGGUGUGGGGUCCAUUCCACGGGUUCCGUGCCGUAGCUAACGCUUUAAGUACCCCGCCUGGGGAGUACGGCCGCAAGGCUAAAACUCAAAGGAAUUGACGGGGCCCCGCACAAGCGGCGGAGCAUGCGGAUUAAUUCGAUGCAACGCGUAGAACCUUACCUGGGUUUGACAUGGAUCGGGAGCGCUCAGAGAUGGGUGUGCCUCUUUUGGGGUCGGUUCACAGGUGGUGCAUGGCUGUCGUCAGCUCGUGUCGUGAGAUGUUGGGUUAAGUCCCGCAACGAGCGCAACCCUUGUUCACUGUUGCCAGCACGUUAUGGUGGGGACUCAGUGGAGACCGCCGGGGUCAACUCGGAGGAAGGUGGGGAUGACGUCAAGUCAUCAUGCCCCUUAUGUCCAGGGCUUCACGCAUGCUACAAUGGCUGGUACAGAGAGUGGCGAGCCUGUGAGGGUGAGCGAAUCUCGGAAAGCCGGUCUCAGUUCGGAUUGGGGUCUGCAACUCGACCUCAUGAAGUCGGAGUCGCUAGUAAUCGCAGAUCAGCAACGCUGCGGUGAAUACGUUCCCGGG